This 421-nucleotide ribosomal RNA is filed under the name uncultured Methanosaeta sp. Its description in RNAcentral is "bacterial SSU rRNA". It matches the Rfam family "Archaeal small subunit ribosomal RNA", at positions 322 to 747 of the family's 1478-position model. Lineage: Archaea; Methanobacteriati; Methanobacteriota; Methanomicrobia; Methanotrichales; Methanotrichaceae. The record is from RNAcentral.
CCUACGGGGCGCAGCAGGCGCGAAAACUUUACAAUGCGGGAAACCGUGAUAGGGGAACUCUGAGUGCCCGUUAAAUCGGGCUGUCCACCAGUUUAAACAACUGGUGAAGAAAGGGCCGGGCAAGACCGGUGCCAGCCGCCGCGGUAAUACCGGCGGCUCGAGUGGUGGCCACUAUUACUGGGCUUAAAGCGUUCGUAGCUGGUUUGUUAAGUCUCUGGGGAAAUCUUCCGGCUUAACCGGAAGGCGUCUCAGGGAUACUGGCAGACUAGGGACCGGGAGAGGUGAGGGGUACUCCAGGGGUAGGAGUGAAAUCCUGUAAUCCUUGGGGGACCACCUGUGGCGAAGGCGCCUCACCAGAACGGCUCCGACAGUGAGGGACGAAAGCUGGGGGAGCAAACCGGAUUAGAUACCCGCGUAGUCC